Molecule: ribosomal RNA, 723 nt
Filed under: Actinomycetes bacterium
Lineage: Bacteria; Bacillati; Actinomycetota; Actinomycetes
Description: bacterial SSU rRNA
Rfam family: Bacterial small subunit ribosomal RNA
Source: RNAcentral
UGGGACAAGCCCUGGAAACGGGGUCUAAUACCGGAUACUGAUCACCUUGGGCAUCCAAGGUGUUCGAAAGCUCCGGCGGUGCAGGAUGAGCCCGCGGCCUAUCAGCUUGUUGGUGAGGUAGUGGCUCACCAAGGCGACGACGGGUAGCCGGCCUGAGAGGGCGACCGGCCACACUGGGACUGAGACACGGCCCAGACUCCUACGGGAGGCAGCAGUGGGGAAUAUUGCACAAUGGGCGAAAGCCUGAUGCAGCGACGCCGCGUGAGGGAUGACGGCCUUCGGGUUGUAAACCUCUUUCAGCAGGGAAGAAGCGAAAGUGACGGUACCUGCAGAAGAAGCGCCGGCUAACUACGUGCCAGCAGCCGCGGUAAUACGUAGGGCGCGAGCGUUGUCCGGAAUUAUUGGGCGUAAAGAGCUCGUAGGCGGCUUGUCACGUCGGUUGUGAAAGCCCGGGGCUUAACCCCGGGUCUGCAGUCGAUACGGGCAGGCUAGAGUUCGGUAGGGGAGAUCGGAAUUCCUGGUGUAGCGGUGAAAUGCGCAGAUAUCAGGAGGAACACCGGUGGCGAAGGCGGAUCUCUGGGCCGAUACUGACGCUGAGGAGCGAAAGCGUGGGGAGCGAACAGGAUUAGAUACCCUGGUAGUCCACGCCGUAAACGGUGGGCACUAGGUGUGGGCAACAUUCCACGUUGUCCGUGCCGCAGCUAACGCAUUAAGUGCCCCGCC